This 114-nucleotide ribosomal RNA is filed under the name Periophthalmus magnuspinnatus. Lineage: Eukaryota; Metazoa; Chordata; Actinopteri; Gobiiformes; Gobiidae. The record is from RNAcentral.
CAUUGUGGCCAAACUUCCUUGUUCUUGAUCUCUUCAGAUCUCAGAACUUAAGCAGGGCCGGGUUUGGUUAGGACAUUGAUGGGAGACCGCUGAAAAUACAAGGUGCCAUACUGG